AGCUUCAAACUUAGCCCAACCAAAUACGAAUUUUUUAAUAAUAAUUAGACACCCCAAACAAACCAUUUAAACAUUUUAGUAAAGGAGAUUGAAAAACCUAUUGGAGCUAAAACAACAGUACCGCAAGGGAAAAGUGAAAUAAUAAAUGAAAACUAAAGCAACAAACAGUAAAGACUACCCCUUGUACCUUUUGCAUCAUGGUUUAACUAGUCCAAUCAAGCAAAACGCAUUUAAGUUUGACCCCCCGAAACUAAGUGAGCUACUUCAAGGCAGCUGAAAGAGCGAACCCGUCUCUGUAGCAAAAGAGUGGGAUGACCAUCAAGUAGCGGUGAUAGACCUAACGAACUUAGUGAUAGCUGGUUACUCAUCAAGAAAUGGAUUUUAGUCCAACCUGAACAAUACCCUCAGUUCACCAAAACAACUUAUUUAUUUUCAGCGUAAUUCAAAUAAGGUACAGCUUAUUUGAAACAGGACACAACCUAAACCAACGGAUAAGAUCAGCCUAGCGAGCAACCAAGUUGGCCUAAAAGCAGCCAUCUUUUAGAGUGCGUCAAAGCUCAGUUGCUCCAACGCCUAAUUAUUAAACCCACAUCUUAAUCCUCCCUCAAUACUGAGUAAUUCUAUAACGUUAUAGAAGCUUUUAUGUUAAAAUUAGUAACAAGAAGAUGACUAUUCUCUUAAAUGUUAGUGUAAAUCAGGCAGGACAAACCACUGAUUCUUAACACCAUUGAACCUGAAGUAAUAAACAAUCAAGAAAACCUUACUCUAAUCAACGUUAACCUAACACAAGCACAUUUCAAGAAAGAUUAAAAAAAUAAGAAGGAACUCGGCAAAUAUUAACCCCGCCUGUUUACCAAAAACAUCGCCUCUUGAACCCAAUAAGAGGUCCAGCCUGCCCAGUGACUCUGUUCAACGGCCGCGGUAUCCUAACCGUGCGAAGGUAGCGUAAUCACUUGUUCUUUAAAUGAGGACUAGUAUGAACGGCACCACGAAGGUUAUACUGUCUCCUUUUUUUGAUCAGUGAAAUUAAUCUCCCCGUGAAGAAGCGGGGAUAAAAUUAUAAGACGAGAAGACCCUAUGGAGCUUUAAACAACGUAGCACUUACCUUUCAACACAAAAAUUCCCGAACAUUGAAACUUUCAGGUAAUAUGACUACAAGUUUUUGGUUGGGGUGACCACGGAGCAUAACAUAACCUCCAUGUUGAAGGAAUAGUAUUCUAAGCUAAGACCUACCCACCUAAGCAUCAAUAUUUUGACAUUCAUUGACCCAAUAUAUUUGAACAACGAACCAAGUUACCCUAGGGAUAACAGCGCAAUCCACUUUAAGAGCCCCUAUCGACAAGUGGGUUUACGACCUCGAUGUUGGAUCAGGGUCUCCAAGUGGUGCAGCCGCUACUA
RNAcentral lists this ribosomal RNA (1398 nucleotides) under Ansonia latirostra. RNAcentral's name for it is "partial 16S ribosomal RNA". It matches the Rfam family "Bacterial large subunit ribosomal RNA", at positions 393 to 2567 of the family's 2925-position model. Lineage: Eukaryota; Metazoa; Chordata; Amphibia; Anura; Bufonidae. The record is from RNAcentral.